Molecule: non-coding RNA, 23 nt
Filed under: Cricetulus griseus (Chinese hamster)
Lineage: Eukaryota; Metazoa; Chordata; Mammalia; Rodentia; Cricetidae
Source: RNAcentral
AAUCAGGUUGUGCUGAAAAGGUU